GCUUAAGUGCUGAAAUUUGGGGUUAUUGAUGCAAUUUUUAUGCUUUUGUGUUCAGAUCCUUGGAGGAAGUUGAGUAUGGACCAGAGGGUGAUAUUCCAUCUUGGUUUACUGGUUUUGGAACUUUGCUACACCUGAUUUGGGAUUUGAAAGGUGAAGUUAACAUUGUAUUUGAGGAAAAGUGAUGGUUAAGUGCUGAAUUUCGUAAGUUUGAUGGAAUUAUAGUAUUCUCGAUGUGUAGAGCCUUGGAGAAGUAUUGUUGCUGUUUCAGCGUGAUCUCGGCUG
This 282-nucleotide long non-coding RNA is filed under the name Ananas comosus (pineapple). RNAcentral describes it as "long non-coding RNA (ACOM_LNC034186)". The record is from RNAcentral. Lineage: Eukaryota; Viridiplantae; Streptophyta; Magnoliopsida; Poales; Bromeliaceae.